AUGCUUGCUUCAGCAGUACAUAUACUAAAAUUGGAAUGGUACAGAGAAGAUUAACAUGGCCCCUGUGCAAGGAUGGCAUGCAAAUCUGUGCAUGUUUGUUUGACUGU
Molecule: small nuclear RNA, 107 nt
Filed under: Dasypus novemcinctus (nine-banded armadillo)
Lineage: Eukaryota; Metazoa; Chordata; Mammalia; Cingulata; Dasypodidae
Source: RNAcentral